This 483-nucleotide long non-coding RNA is filed under the name Rattus norvegicus (Norway rat). RNAcentral's name for it is "long non-coding RNA NONRATT021392". The record is from RNAcentral. Lineage: Eukaryota; Metazoa; Chordata; Mammalia; Rodentia; Muridae.
CACUUUUUUUUUUUUUUCUUUUUUUCAUUACGUUCCCAAAUCUUGCCAGUUCCUCCACAUUCAGUAAACGUGCGUUUCACUGAACCUGUCCAGGAAAGAGGGUCAUCUCUCAUGGUUGGAAAGAGUACUGUGUACGAGGGGGUGGAAACUGCAACUUGGGAUCAGCAAGCCACUCCCGGCUCGGCCUCAGUUUCCUCCUAAGCAGCCCGUCUAGCCCCUUCCAAAGCGUGCCCUCAAAGAUUCCAGGAAUUCUGUCCUUUCUGGCCGAAAACAACACUGAGGCUUUUCACAAAGCACUCCCACCCCCACCCCUCGCUCCCCUUGGAUCCACAGCCCGCGUCCCUGGAACCCGGGCUGCACUGCGCUGGUCACAUGAACUCCGGCUUUCUCUGGUGUGACGGCUCUCUCCGAUCCCUUUGUGAGCGCAGGUUUUGAAAGCCAACGACCGGGUCCUGGGUUUGAGACGCGCAGGCGGCCGCGGGC